Molecule: ribosomal RNA, 493 nt
Filed under: uncultured bacterium
Lineage: Bacteria
Description: bacterial SSU rRNA
Rfam family: Bacterial small subunit ribosomal RNA
Source: RNAcentral
GAUGAACGCUAGCGGCAGGCUUAAUACAUGCAAGUCGAGGGGCAGCAUGACUGUAGCAAUACAGUUGAUGGCGACCGGCAAACGGGUGCGGAACACGUACAGAACCUUCCUUCGAGCGGGGAAUAGCCCAGAGAAAUUUGGAUUAAUACCCCAUAGUAUAUUAGAGUGGCAUCACUUUGAUAUUAAAGAUUUAUCACUUGAAGAUGGCUGUGCGGCUGAUUAGGUAGUUGGCGGGGUAACGGCCCACCAAGCCUUCGAUCAGUAACUGGUGUGAGAGCACGACCAGUCACACGGGCACUGAGACACGGGGCCCGACUCCUACGGGAGGCAGCAGUAAGGAAUAUUGGUCAAUGGACGAAAGUCUGAACCAGCCAUGCCGCGUGGAGGAUGAAGGUCCUCUGGAUUGUAAACUUCUUUUAUAUGGGACGAAAAAAGGGUUUUCUAACUCGUCUGACGGUACCAUAUGAAUAAGCACCGGCUAACUCCGUGCCAG